GCAGCCCUGGUGACAAUGUCACGCCCAGAUGAGCAUCGGUGGCUUCUGGUUCCAAGGCAUCUGCAGGGCGUUAGGAGAAUCCUGUGGCCUUGUCGAGGCGCUGGAGACGGCUCUUCCUCCCGAGCAGGCUACGCCCAGGAGGAACAGCUAAAGGAAGAGGAGGAGAUUAAAGAGGAAGAGGAGGAGGAGGAGGACAGCGGUUCAGUAGCUCAGCUUCAGGGAAGCAAUGACACGGGGACAGACGAGGAGCUAGAAACGGGCCCAGAGCAGAAAGGCUACUUCAGCUGCCAGAACUCUCCUGGAAGUCAUUUGUCCAAUCAGGACGCAGAGAACGAGUCUCUGCUGAGUGAUGCCAGCGACCAGGUGUCAGACAUCAAGAGCGUGUGCGGCCGAGAUGCCCCGGAAAAGAAAGCGAACGUUCACCCCAAGCUUCCAAUCGAGGCACACAAUUGCAUGGAUAAAAUGACCGCCGUGUAUGCCAACAUCCUGUCGGACUCCUACUGGUCCGGCCUGGGCCUGGGUUUCAAGCUCUCCAAUAGCGAGAGGCGCAGUUGUGACACCCGCAAUGGCAGCAACAAGAGUGAUUUUGAUUGGCACCAAGACGCUCUGUCCAAAAGCCUGCAGCAAAACUUGCCUUCCAGGUCGGUCUCGAAGCCCAGCCUGUUCAGCUCCGUGCAGCUGUACCGGCAGAGCAGCAAGAUGUGCGGGACUGUGUUCACUGGGGCCAGCAGGUUCCGCUGCCGGCAGUGCAGUGCUGCCUACGACACCCUGGUUGAGUUGACUGUGCACAUGAAUGAGACCGGCCACUAUCAAGAUGACAACCGCAAAAAGGACAAGCUUAGACCCACGAGCUAUUCAAAGCCCCGGAAACGGGCUUUUCAGGAUAUGGAUAAGGAGGAUGCUCAAAAGGUUCUGAAAUGCAUGUUCUGUGGUGACUCCUUCGAUUCCCUCCAAGAUUUGAGUGUCCAUAUGAUAAAGACAAAACAUUACCAAAAAGUGCCUUUGAAGGAGCCAGUGCCAACCAUUUCAUCAAAAAUGGUCACUCCGGCCAAGAAGCGUGUGUUCGAUGUCAAUCGGCCUUGUUCCCCCGAUUCCACCACCGGAUCGUUUGCAGAUUCGUUUCCUUCUCAGAAGACCGCCGCCAGUUUGCAGCUGUCCUCCAACAACCGCUAUGGCUACCAAAAUGGCGCCAGCUACACCUGGCAGUUCGAGGCCUGCAAGUCCCAGAUCCUCAAGUGCAUGGAGUGUGGGAGCUCCCACGACACCUUGCAGCAGCUCACCACCCACAUGAUGGUCACAGGCCACUUCCUCAAGGUCACCAGCUCUGCCUCCAAGAAAGGGAAGCAGCUGGUGUUGGACCCACUCGCAGUGGAGAAAAUGCAGUCCUUGUCAGAGACCCCAAACAGUGACUCUCUGACUCCCAAGCCAUCGAGCAACUCAGCAUCCGACUGUACAGCCUCGACCACCGAGUUAAAGAAAGAGAGCAAAAAAGACAAGCCAGAGGAAGCCAACAAGGGUGAAAAGGUCGUGAAAAGUGAGGAAUAUGAAGACCCUCUCCAAAAGCCUUUAGACCCCACCAUGAAGUACCAGUACCUGAGGGAGGAGGAUUUGGAAGACGGCGCCAAGGGCGGAGGGGACAUCCUGAAGUCUCUGGAAAACACUGUAACCACAGCGAUCCACAAAGCCCAGAAUGGCGCCCCCAGCUGGAGCGCGUACCCCAGCAUCCACGCGGCCUACCAACUGCCAGAGGGUGCCAAGCCGCCUUUGCCCGUGGGAUCCCAGGUACUGCAGAUCCGACCUAAUCUCGCCAACAAGCUGAGGCCCAUCGCUCCAAAAUGGAAAGUCAUGCCACUGGUGUCUGUGCCCCCAAACCUGGCCCCCUACACUCAAGUCAAAAAGGAGUCGGAAGACAAAGACGAAGUCGUGAAGGAGAGUGGGAAGGAAAGUCCCCAGGAAGAGGCAUCGUCCUUCAGCCACAGUGAGAAGGAGCCCUUCCCCAAAAGUGAACCGCCUUCGGACUCCAGAAAGGCGGAGCCGUGUCCCCUGAAGGAGGAGGACAAGCUGAUGAAGGAGAGCUGUGAGAAAGAGAAGCCGCCGCCCGUGGAGCCCGUGUCUUCUCUUAGCAAUGGAUGCGCCCUCGCCAACCACACGCCGGCCCUGCCGUGCAUCAACCCACUCAGCGCACUGCAGUCCGUCUUGAACAAUCACCUGGGCAAGGCCACCGAGCCCUUGCGCUCACCUUCUUGCUCCAGCCCAAGCUCAAGCACAAUUUCUCUGUUCCACAAGUCAAAUCUCAGCGUUGUGGACAAGCCGGUUUUGAGCCCUGCCUCCUCCAGACCGGCCAGUGUGUCCAGGCGCUACCUGUUUGAGAACAAUGACCAACCCAUUGACCUGACCAAGUCCAAAAGCAAGAAGGCCGAGUCCUCGCAAGCACAAUCCUGUACGUCCCCACCUCAGAAGCACGCUCUGUCUGACAUCGCCGACAUGGUCAAAGUCCUCCCCAAAGCCACCACCCCCAAGCCUGCCACCUCCUCAAGGGUCCCUCCUGUGAAGCUGGAAAUGGAUGUCAGGCGCUUUGAGGAUGUGUCCAAUGAAGUCUCAACUCUGCAUAAAAGAAAAGGUCGGCAGUCCAACUGGAACCCCCAGCACCUCCUGAUUUUGCAGGCACAGUUCGCCUCGAGCCUCUUCCAAACAUCAGAGGGCAAAUACCUGCUGUCUGACCUGGGCCCGCAAGAGCGCAUGCAGAUCUCGAAGUUUACGGGACUCUCCAUGACCACCAUCAGCCACUGGCUGGCAAACGUCAAGUACCAGCUUAGGAAAACGGGCGGGACGAAGUUUCUGAAAAACAUGGACAAAGGACACCCCAUCUUCUAUUGCAGUGACUGUGCCUCCCAGUUCAGAACCCCUUCCACCUACAUCAGUCACUUGGAGUCUCACCUGGGCUUCCAAAUGAAGGACAUGACCCGCAUGGCCGCGGACCAGCAAAGCAAGGUGGAACAGGAGCUCUCUCGGGUGUCGUCGGCUCAGAGGUCUCCGGAAACAAUAGCUGGCGAAGAGGAUUCAGACUCUAAAUUCAAGUGUAAGUUGUGCUGUCGGACAUUUGUGAGCAAACAUGCAGUAAAACUCCACCUAAGCAAAACGCACAGCAAGUCACCCGAACACCAUUCACAGUUUGUAACAGACGUGGAUGAAGAAUAGCUCUGCAGGACAAAUGCCUUAGUCUCCGCUUUCCAGCCUGGACCCCCACACUGAGCCCUUCUUCGGCCCACCGCCCUGCCUGCUUCGGGCACUGAACUCACUGACCUCCUCCUGACACCCUGCACCAAGAAGACUGCCAAAAAAAAAAAAAAACCACCCCGCAUUUCUCUCCAUCCUCACUAACAAUUUGGUAAUGAAGUAUUGAUUUCCACUUCUCCGCUGAUGGACGAUAUUAGAUUUUCAUUGAUAAACUGCAUUGGGCUGUCUCGUCUCCACGGUCCCCUUUUCACGGUCACAAGAAAACAAAGUGCCACUGAAGAAAACUAAUGACUGGGAACACUGAUGCGCUUAUUUUGUCAGUCUGUAACAGGAAAGGGAGGGGUAGUCCUCGCCGGCCAACGGCCGAGGGGGCCGCCCGAGAUGCGGACACUUGGAAGGCUGCUUUUGGUGGUGAUGUCCGUUUCCUAUUUAUAACCCCUCUGGGAACGUUUGUCUAAAGGAAAUGUUUCUGUUCAGUGUAACAAUUACGGUUGCACCUGGAUUGCCCAGGCCUGCCCCUGCGCUAGGGAGCCAUUAAUCACUGCAAAGGAGAAGAAUUAUUAGGUUAAGGCCAGAGCUGGAGCCAAGAAAGCCUCCGAACAGUGUUCGUCUUCUGUGAAAGUUGUGCAAAUAGUUAGCCUUAGCCGUGCUGCUGCCAAGGACUUUUUCCCAGGCAGCGGUAGGCAUCUUUAUCAUGGUCAUUAUCUGGAUUGGUUUAAAACCUAGUUGUGAGCCUGCAGCCCUGUCACAGGAGACCUGCAGAUUGGGAGAAGGGGCGAGAUGUAGAAUCUGAGAAAAGCAAGAAGAUGAGCUCAUGGCAGGGUGGAAAGUUCAGCAGCGGCCUUUUCUGGUCAUCCCUUCUUGCAGGACUGGUUGUUUAUGGACUCUGGAACACAGCCGAGCUUUAGGACCAACAGAAAGCGUGAAAUAGGGUGUCCAUUUUAAAUGUGUUCCUGCAACUUUUUUCAUUAAAACUUUAAGGGCCCAAUUUUAAUUUGUGGAAUAUUCCCGUUAAUAAUGAGAUCUAAUUAAGACAUCCAUUAAAAGCCCGUUAAAGUUAAUUUAACGUAAAAAUUCCAAUAGAACUGUAUUAGAUUUUCUCCAUUAAAUUAACGUUAUGGAUUUUUAACGGAUGUCUUAAUUAUACGUUAUUAUUAACGGGAAUACUGUAUUACACAGAUUAAAAUCAGGUCCUAAGUCAACUUGGAAAGCUAGGAGCAUGUUUUAAUAUUAAAAGUCUUGCAUACCUAGCGUGCAGUUUGGAAGGGGUAGAUCUGUUUAUUCUAUACAAUGGAAAGCAACCUACAAUAGAUGUAUCCAUCAAUGCAUUUAAACAAUGAAUUUUCUUAUUCUCAAAGGACAAAUAAAUAUGGAUCAUGUUGUAAACUGCUACUCAGCUAUAGGUGAAAUAUUAAGCUACUCUAGGCAUAACACAAGAAACUAGAUGAUUCUGAAACAAAUGAAAUAUUAUGUGUUGUUGUUUUAAUUACCAAGUUUAUCAACAAUAGCAGCAACUCAACACUGACAAAAUGAAGCCAGAUAUAGCCUCUUCACCAUUUCUCAUAGAAGCUGCCUGUUGGAAUUGUUUUGGAAAUUUUGCCAUGAUCCCUAAAUUCACCAUGGGAUUAAAAAAAAGGGGGGGGGGGAACUUCUUAUUUACCUCCUAGGGAAAGUGUUGCCCUUAUGCCACAUAUAAUAGCAAAUUGCUUUUUUUAUGGCAUGCAUAACCUAGAUGGGAAAAAUAUGGCGCUUCAGGGAAGGAGGGAAAAAGUAAAUGAAGUUCCAGGAAUGUCAUUCUGAAGUAAUGAGGCAUGGACAGAAAAUAUACCCCUCACAUCAUCGGAUUGAGAUGGCAGUCGAAAUAGCUUCAUUGAAGUGUCAGCACUCAUCCAUCAAUCAAUCACCCACAAGGAAAAAUAGCAACAGUACAACGGGGCGGCUUUUAUGGGAUUUACUCAUGGGCAUAGGGAAUAGCGGCUCAAAUGUAGUUCUGACAUGAAAAGCAAGGUGCUGAUAUUAUUUUUUAUGAUGGGAGGAUCAUAAAGUGAAUUGAGAACAGCGAGGUCUGUCUUUGCUUAACCUAUUCAACCAGAAAUGAAUGGAACUCAACUGGAAAGGAACAGUCUUCAGAUGGGUUAAGAUUGAAGGGUGGACUCUGCCGAGCACUGUCCUUCGACAACGAGAUUCUAUUAAAGGAAAAUCAAUGCAUUAGCAUUGGUGUUCCUGAAGCUGUUAAAAAUCGCCUGCUUCAACCCAGGGUUGUUAGAUAAAGUUACAUAAUUCAGAUCCUACUGCAACCAUCCAGAAGCAAAUUCGGAGUUUUUGCUCCAGUUAGGGAGAAACAAUGCAAUUCUAAACCCUUUGGAAAUCAUUUUCUAAGGAAAAAAAAUAAUAAAUCAUCUGCUUCCUCAUAGAAUCUAUAUGGCAAUUUCUCUGGUGGGAUGGGGUGGGAGGCAAGAGACAAAAAUAUUGAUAAAUUUGGUAAGACUCAUGAAUCCUCACUUGGCAACCGGGAAUGUCACAGCUAAGGGACAGCUGUUAAUGUUCUCCUUAGAAAACAAGAUCUGGGCUGGCACUGAGAUACAUUCCGCUCUCAGUAUAAUUCUAGAGGCCAUGUCUGUCUUCAUUUGGCAAGCCCUGUGAGGCUUCUAGAAAUCUCUUCCUGGAGAGAAGAACUAAAUAACAUUAGUUCAAGAGAAUAGUUUUACAUGCUUUUAUACCACUUCUUUCCUUUCUCUGAAUAACCCUAGUUCAGAAAAGCUGGAGCUUCAGAAGUGGCAAAGAGAAUGACAUGUGAAUAUCAUUUCUUAAAGCUCUGUCCCAGCACCUCCCUUUGGUAUUAGGGACAGUGAGAGAUUGCCUUUCCUUCCCUAUCCCUCCUUCCAGCUAAGGCCAUCAACCAACUGAAAUCUGAAAUGGUCAUUAAAAAAUCACAAAUAUUUGCAUCUUAAGUAUUUGGCUCCUUUCGUAGCUCAGCAAAUCCAACAAAUCUAUAGUGUGUUAAAAAGCACCAGCAGCACAAAGCACAACAGGGAACACAAUUUAUUCAGCAAAUUCACCCCCCAGAUCUGAUCAGGUACCCAUUUUGUGCCCAGCUCUGUUCUAGGUGCUAGGAGAUGCCCUGGUAGACACUGCACCCAACGACCCCACCCUCCUGUCGCUGAAAGCAACCCAUCCAGGCAGCCGACACCAGGUGUCUACCUGGGGGCAGAGUCCACAUAGGAUCAGAAUAAGAGUAUUUCAGCAUAAGGAGUUUUCCCUCUGAAAAUCAUUCAGAGAGGAAAGAGCUUUAAAAUAGGUCAAAGCCUAAAACAGAAUAUAAUCAUGGAAUAAAUUGGAGACCCCAGACAGUCCCUACAAAAUUUCCUUCAGGCUGUAAAUAGAUCUCUUAAAACUCACCCCAUAACAUGGCGGCUCAGUUGUUUGACACUUGCAUAACUAACAUCUUAGGCAAAAGCCUCUGAACUUAGCUGAAAUGCAGAAAACAGACAAGUGCAAUGACAUGUUUAGGGGUAACUGUGUUGAAGCCGUGAGACAUGUGUGAGGAGUGUGUGUGUGUGUGCACACGUGUGACAGACACACACGCGAAUACAUGUAUAUGAAGGCCGCUGUUGUUUUCCAUGCUGCAUGCAGAGUGCAGCAAUGAGAGUCUGUGAUUUUCUAAAACUUUCUGCAGUGAAUCCAAAGAUCACAGGCCCCCCAAGGCACCUGCAUCCUGCGGCUUUUCUAUAACUUCCUGAAUUAUUUGACUAUGUUCAAACCUUCUUUUCUUUUUUCAUCAGGGUUUCAUUUUUUUAAGCUUGUCAAGUGUUUUUGCCUUUAAAAAGACAUUAAAUGUGCCCUUUUCCACAUUAUUUUCUCAUCUCUGCAACAAGAAAUGGUAGUGUAUAGACAAAUGCUAAAAUAAUAACAAUAAUAAGGAAAUGUAUUAAAGGUUUAAACCUACACACGCAUACACAUAUGUAGUUCUACCGAGCAAUAAAAGUAGUAUCUAUUUUGAACGUGCAUUAAGCACCAAAAAAAAAAAAAAUCAAAACUGAACUUUCGGUUUAUUUUGUUCCCUCUGUGAGAUGUUAAAAUGCUAAUUUCAUUUUCUCCCUUCUUCUAUGUGGCAUUUUUCUCAAAAUAUCUAUGAAAUACUCUUAGACAAAGAUUGAGCUGGAGAAAGAGAUACAAAUUUCCAUCCCCCCAGACAUAGAGAUGUGUUUCCAUUGUAGGAAAGCAUUAAACAUUUUGAAACUUGUGAAUCAUCUUUAGAAUUUCAACAGCGGAAUUUUACCUCUUCAUCCAAAGUAAAAGCCACUUAUCUCCUUUGGUUUCCUGUGACAGAUUCAGAGGCAGACGCAGAUAUACAAUUUCCAGGCUCUAGUUAAUCUUCUUCCAAUAGUUACGAACAAUGGGCUAACGGGCGUGGGUGUUUCUCCAAAAAUUAUUCAUGCGCAAGGCAGCCCAAAGCUUCAGGGAAAACUAGAAAUGUUUUAUGGAUUAGAAUAGGCCUGUUUUAAAAUGCUAGUACCAGGUGGAAUGCUAUUUCUGCAACAGGACUCUGUCCAUUUCCUUUGGAAAAAUAUAUUCCAAGUAAAAUGGCUAUUCCAAGGAGUGACACCCUGGCUUGACAGACUUUGGCACACAAAUGAUCUUACCAAUAGCCAUAUAAUUAUCAUUAAGGCCUUUUACCAUACAGUCUGUUUAAAAAAGACAGAUCAAAUGCUAACAGCCCUUUGUAUCAUGUUUAUUUGCUUAAAACAGCUUUUGGAAGUACAAGUAAUAACUCUUUCAUGAGAACCCCCCAGGAGAAGUUGGAAAUUUUGAAGAAAUGCAUUGCUUAAAAAAAAAAAAAAAUCUAAGCACUCCCUUCAACCCUUUCAGAAAAUAAAUUUCAGUGUGCUCGCUGAAUUAUCUUGAACCUGAACCCUACACUUGGACAUCAGUCCCCAGGCAAUGGCUAAUAUUUACAGAAAGAACAAUCAUGCGAUUAUGUCGCAAGUGAAGACUGUGCCUGGUUAUAUUUUCACUUUCUAAAUGACUCAUAUAACAUUCAGAAAUUAUAAAUGUGUAUGCAUUUUUUAAGUACACAAAGUCCCACCAGUCUGCAAAGAAAAAGUAAAACCUACGCCUGUUCUGCAUUGAGAUAAAUACUACAGAAACAUUCCAGUCCUGCAAUACAAUAUUUUGGCUUUGCAACACAUCAGAUAUUAAAAGCAUGCAACACAGUCAAAAACAAUGACCAAAAAAAAAAUUGUAUUUGGAUCAGAGUUUUGAAAGGUCAUAACAUCCUGGGUUACAAUAUACUUUUUGGUCUCUGACGCUAUCCUUCUAAUCCGUUCUAACUUUGAUUCCAAACAGCCAAGCAAUGUCAGGGAGUCAUAAACUUCCAAGCCCCUUUUAAAUCAGGAACACAGCCAAUCAGAAACAAUCUUUAUCUGGGCAGCCAGUUCCUGCUCUGCACGGCUUUUGUAACGUUUUAGGAAAUCUGGCAUCAAAUCCUUUACAUUAUAUAUUUUCCCCCUUGCAUGAAGUCUAGAUUUUGAGUUGUUGUUUCUUUUCAAAAGGGCAGUGGAGAAAAUGGGUCAGAGUGAGCUUCAAGAAUCACAUUCAUCCUUGCUCUGAAGGAAAGUGUUUAUUUGCCAGAGAAGAAAGGCAAACACAUUUUUGUAUUAGGAAAGCAGACCAGUCGUUUUCAAAGGAAAAUGGCUGCGACCAUACUUGUACAAUGAACGUGUCCGUGCAAGCGCACUAAUUUUCUACCACCUGCAUGCUGUAUAUAAUACACGCCUGUAUAUUAGGAAGGAAAAUUGGGCUGUUUUCCCUGUGUACCAUGCAGCUUGAUGGCUGGGAAACCCAACUGCCGACACUGAGGAGCUGGGUGUGUUCAAUUAUGACUUUGCUGGAGGCUGCCCCUCGUCGGAUGCUGCAGAUGUUGAACACCUUUCUGAAACCCAGCGGAUCUGACACGGCAGAGACGCCCCUCCACACCGUUAGCUUGGCGAACGGCUUCCUUCCCAUCAAUAGCGACUUCCGCUUUGGCCCUUCGAAGAAAAGGAAAAUUAAAGGAGAGAAGGAAAAAAACAAAAAAAAACAAAACAGAUGCACUUAAAACAUGAAAAGAAUUAUUUAUAUGAUAAAAAUAUAUUUAGAUUUUCAAAGCACAAGACUGAAUAGAAGUGCUCUUUUUAAGCUUUCUGGAGAUGUUACUGUUAAAUGUCUUUCUACAUCAGGCUUAAUAAAUCUGUAAUGACAUUUGAUGGA
This is a non-coding RNA of Ictidomys tridecemlineatus (thirteen-lined ground squirrel), 9486 nucleotides long. Lineage: Eukaryota; Metazoa; Chordata; Mammalia; Rodentia; Sciuridae. The record is from RefSeq and is a predicted model, not a curated record.